RNAcentral lists this transfer RNA (71 nucleotides) under Heterocephalus glaber (naked mole-rat). It matches the Rfam family "tRNA". From Rfam's summary of the family: Transfer RNA (tRNA) molecules are approximately 80 nucleotides in length. Their secondary structure includes four short double-helical elements and three loops (D, anti-codon, and T loops). The record is from Rfam by way of RNAcentral. Lineage: Eukaryota; Metazoa; Chordata; Mammalia; Rodentia; Bathyergidae.
GGGGAUAUGGCUCAGUGGUAGAGCUCUUGCCUAGCAUGGGAAAGGCUUGGAUUCAAUCUCCAACACCUCCC